UUUUUUUUUUUUUUUAAGAUUUUAUUUAUUGAGAGAGAGUGUGCAAGUGAGAGAGAGAGAGAAAGCAUGAGCAGUGGGGAGGGGCAGAGGGAUGGGGAGAGAGACAAACAGACUCCCUGCUGAGCAGAGAGCCUGCUGUGGGGCUUGAUCCCAGGACCAACCCCAGGAUCAUGACCUAAAGCAAUGCUUAACCGACUAAGCCACACAGGCACCCCUAGGUGUGCUUCUUUAAACACUGUAAGGGGAAGUAGGUGGAAGGAGAAAGGGGAGAAAAAAAAAAAAAAACAUUGUGAGGAAACCUCUGUAUAUCACCAAAGAAGUAGCUGUAGGGAAUAAAUGUAUGGCUUACUCCCUCUUGAAAAUGUAUUUGAGGGUGCCUGGGUGAAUAAUUUGGUUAAGCACCUGACUCUUGGUUUUGGCUCAGGUCAUGAUCUCAUGGGUUGUUAGAUAGAGCCCCACCUCAGGCUCUGUGCUCAGGGAGGAAUCUGCUUGAGAUUCUCUCCCUCUGCCCCUCCCGCCAAUCAUAUGCGCUCUCCCUCUAAAAUAAACAAAUGUUUAAAAUUAGAAAAAAAAAAAAAAAAAAAAAAAAAGAAAGUCUAUGUGAGGGCAGCCCGGGUGGCUCAGCGGUUUAGCGCCACCUUCAGCCCAGGGCCUGAUCCUGGAGACCCCAGAUCGAGUCCCACGUCGGGCUCCCUGCAUGGAGCCUUCUUCUCCCUCUGCCUGUGUCUCUGCCUCUCUCUCUCUCUCUCUCUCUCUCUCUCUCUGUCUCUCAUGAAUAAAUAAAUAAAAUAUUUUUUAAAAAGUCUAUGUGACCUUAAGUUAGGCAAAGAAUUCUUAGCUACAAACACAAAAAGCAUGAUAGAUAACAAAAAAAAUUAUAAAUCAUACUUAGCCAAUUUCUUAAACUUCUGCAGUUCAAAAACAUCGAGAAAAUAUAAGACAAGCCACAGACUGGGAGGAAAUAUUUGUAAAUUAUAUUUUGAUAAAGCACUUGUAUCUAGAAUUGUAUAUCUAGAAAUAUAUGUUAAGACCUCUUACAACUCAAGUAGAAAACUCAGUUUUUAAAAUGGGCAAAAUACUUGAGUAAACAUUUCACCAAGGAUAUACAAAUGGGUUAAUAAGCACAUGAAAAGAUGCUCAACCUCAUUAGUCUUUAGAGAAAUUCAAAUGAAAACCACAGGGAUACUACUUCAUAACCUCUAGAAUCACACAUAAUAACAGGUACUGAUAAGGGUGCAGAGAAACUGGAGCCCUCAUGACAUUACUGAUGGCACAUAAAAUGGUGUGGCUAUAUUAGAACAUAGCUUGAGUUUCUUAAAAAGUUAAACAUAAUUUAUCAUAUAAUCCAGUGACUCCACUCCUAGGUUAUUUCACAAGAGAAAUGAAAAUAUAUGUCCACACAAAGGUUUUUCACAAAUAUUCACAGCAGCAUUAUUCACAAUAGCUCCAAACUGGGAACAAUCCAAAUAUCCAUGGUGACUGAAUAAACAAAAAGGAGUAUAUUCACAAUAGGAUAUUAUCCAGUAAUAAAAAGGAACCUGUGAUACAUGCUACAACAUGCAUGAAUUUCAAAAACAUAAUGCUAAGUGAGAGAAGCUAGACACCAAGACCACAUAUGGUAUGAUUCCAUUUAUAUGAAAUGUACAGAAAUGUAAAAGAUACAGAUACAAAAAAUUAGUGGUUGCCUGGGACUGAGAGUGGGAAUGGGAAUUCAUUGCAAAUGAGAAACAGACUCUUGUGAGGAUGGAAAUGUUUAAAAAAAUAAAUAAAGGAUUGUGGUGAUGACUGCACAACUCUAAAUGUAGUAAAGAUCACUGAUAUCUAUACUUCAAGUGGAUGAAUUUUAUGGUAUGUUAAUAAUACCUCUCAAUAAAGUUCUUUUUAAAAAUA
Molecule: long non-coding RNA, 1890 nt
Filed under: Canis lupus familiaris (dog)
Lineage: Eukaryota; Metazoa; Chordata; Mammalia; Carnivora; Canidae
Description: lncRNA (ENSCAFG00845021697.1)
Source: RNAcentral